UACCGGCAGCCCGAGUGAUGGCCGAUCUUAUUGGGCCUAAAGCGUCCGUAGCUGGCUGCGCAAGUCCAUCGGAAAAUCCACCCGCUCAACGGGUGGGCGACCGGUGGAAACUGCGUGGCUUGGGACCGGAAGGCGCGACGGGUACGUCCGGGGUAGGAGUGAAAUCCCGUAAUCCCGGACGGACUACCGAUGGCGAAAGCACUCUGAGAAGACGGCUUCGACAGUGAGGGACGAAAGCUAGGGUCUCAAA
RNAcentral lists this ribosomal RNA (250 nucleotides) under uncultured Halobacteria archaeon. Its description in RNAcentral is "partial 16S ribosomal RNA". It matches the Rfam family "Archaeal small subunit ribosomal RNA", at positions 474 to 723 of the family's 1478-position model. Lineage: Archaea; Methanobacteriati; Methanobacteriota; Halobacteria. The record is from RNAcentral.